GCGACCUUGGCGGUGACGGAGAAGCUGGUCAAACUUGGUCAUUUAGAGGAAGUAAAAGUCGUAACAAGGUUUCCGUAGGUGAACCUGCGGAAGGAUCAUUAAAAAGAAUUAUACACUUUGCAUUUGCGAACAAAAAAAUAAAUUUUUUUAUUCUAACAAACUAAAUCAAAACUUUCAACAACGGAUCUCUUGGUUCUCGCAUCGAUGAAGAACGCAGCGAAUUGCGAUACGUAGUAUGACUUGCAGACGUGAAUCAUCGAAUCUUUGAACGCACAUUGCGCCUCGAGGCAUUCCUCGAGGCAUGCCUGUUUGAGCGUCGCAUCCCCUCUAACCCCCGGUUAGGSGUUGCUCCGAAAUAUCAACCGCGCUGUCAAACACGUUUACAGCACGACAUUUCGCCCUCAAAUCAGGUAGGACUACCCGCUGAACUUAAGCAUAUCAAUAAGCGGAGGAAAAGAAACCMACAGGGAUUGCCCCAGUAACGGCGAGUGAAGCGGCAAAAGCUCAAAUUUGAAAUCCUGCGGGAAUUGUAAUUUGAAGGUUUCGUGGUCUGAGUCGGCCGCGCCCAAGUCCAUUGGAACAUGGCGCCUGGGAGGGUGAGAGCCCCGUAUGGCGCACGCCGACUCUUUGCACCGCGGCUCCGACGAGUCGAGUUGUUUGGGAAUGCAGCUCUAAGUGGGUGGUAAAUUCCAUCUAAAGCUAAAUAUUGGCGAGAGACCGAUAGCGAACAAGUACAGUGAUGGAAAGAUGAAAAGCACUUUGAAAAGAGAGUGAAACAGCACGUGAAAUUGUUGAAAGGGAAGGGCUUGCAAGCAGACACGGUUUUACCGGGCCAGCGUCAAAUAAACGGGGGGGAAAAGGGGGAAAGAAUGUGGCGCGUGCCUUCGGGUUCGCGUGUUAUAGCU
Molecule: ribosomal RNA, 905 nt
Filed under: Clavispora lusitaniae
Lineage: Eukaryota; Fungi; Ascomycota; Pichiomycetes; Serinales; Metschnikowiaceae
Description: eukaryotic LSU rRNA
Rfam family: Eukaryotic large subunit ribosomal RNA (bases 397-905)
Source: RNAcentral